Bradysia coprophila is the source of this 821-nucleotide long non-coding RNA. NCBI's taxonomy places the organism in Eukaryota, Metazoa, Arthropoda, Insecta, Diptera, Sciaridae. The record is from RefSeq and is a predicted model, not a curated record.
AACUAGUCACGAGAACAGAAAUCUGUUCAAAGCUAUGAUUAAAUCAAUCGAAAGGUUCCAUUCAAAAGUGGCACGUCCUUUAGAAAGUUUUAAAAUAAAGAAGCGAGAGGUUCCUUUUAGAAUUUAAAAAAAAAAACAUUUCAAUUUAAGCCAGGAAUUUUCUCUGUGUGCAGUUUAGUUACAAAAUCUAUGACAGGUUGCAGGCAUUUUCCUUGAAAAAUAAAAAAGACCUUGCCGGUGUCACCUGACAUCGCAAUUGAGCAUGCAAAUAAUGUGAAAUCUCAGUCAUCAAAUUCCUAGCGGAAGUUUUGCUGUCUGUGAAAAAGAUGCAAACAAACAGCAAUAAUUUACAGCAAUAAAAACAAUAGCAGUCAUCACAACUAGUCAACAGAACUGAGAAAGUAUUUUUAUGUGUUAGGUUCACCUUGCAGAGUUGUCAUUUAUUUUUCGGUUGCUGUUUUUCAACAACCAAAAACCAUAACAAAAUUAACCGUUUAAAUACCUACACCGCAUCUAUACGGUGACAUAUCAAGUACAGUUCUUGUUAAUUGAAGUAACAUUAAAUUUCCUUUAAAUUUGUGUAUCGAAAUGGCAAAAUUUAUUUUAUGCACAGUGUUUGUGGCGUGUGUUUUAUUACUGAAUUCGAGUGAAUCGUCCCAACAAUUAAAGACGAACUUUGAAAAUGCACUAUCAAAACUGCAUAUAAAUACUUUGAUGAAAGAACAAGUUCCAUGCACUUGUGGAGUAUUCUUAACCGGACAGUUCAAGCGCGGAUCAAACGAACAACCGAAAGGAAACCCAGCCCUCAUGUACGAACAAGA